ACAGAGAGCUUGCUCUCGGGUGACGAGUGGCGGACGGGUGAGUAAUGUCUGGGAAACUGCCUGAUGAGGGGGAUAACUACUGGAAACGGUGGCUAAUACCGCAUAACGUCGCAAGACCAAAGAGGGGGACCUUCGGGCCUCUCACUAUCGGAUGAACCCAGAUGGGAUUAGCUAGUAGGCGGGGUAAUGGCCCACCUAGGCGACGAUCCCUAGCUGGUCUGAGAGGAUGACCAGCCACACUGGAACUGAGACACGGUCCAGACUCC
Molecule: ribosomal RNA, 266 nt
Filed under: uncultured Enterobacteriaceae bacterium
Lineage: Bacteria; Pseudomonadati; Pseudomonadota; Gammaproteobacteria; Enterobacterales; Enterobacteriaceae
Description: partial 16S ribosomal RNA
Rfam family: Bacterial small subunit ribosomal RNA
Source: RNAcentral